GGGGGGGCUACACAUGCAGUCGAACGGUAGCACAGAGAGCUUGCUCUCGGGUGACGAGUGGCGGACGGGUGAGUAAUGUCUGGGAAACUGCCUGAUGGAGGGGGAUAACUACUGGAAACGGUAGCUAAUACCGCAUAAUGUCGCAAGACCAAAGAGGGGGACCUUCGGGCCUCUUGCCAUCAGAUGUGCCCAGAUGGGAUUAGCUAGUAGGUGGGGUAACGGCUCACCUAGGCGACGAUCCCUAGCUGGUCUGAGAGGAUGACCAGCCACACUGGAACUGAGACACGGUCCAGACUCCUACGGGAGGCAGCAGUGGGGAAUAUUGCACAAUGGGCGCAAGCCUGAUGCAGCCAUGCCGCGUGUAUGAAGAAGGCCUUCGGGUUGUAAAGUACUUUCAGCGGGGAGGAAGGUGUUGUGGUUAAUAACCGCAGCAAUUGACGUUACCCGCAGAAGAAGCACCGGCUAACUCCGUGCCAGCAGCCGCGGUAAUACGGAGGGUGCAAGCGUUAAUCGGAAUUACUGGGCGUAAAGCGCACGCAGGCGGUCUGUCAAGUCGGAUGUGAAAUCCCCGGGCUCAACCUGGGAACUGCAUUCGAAACUGGCAGGCUGGAGUCUUGUAGAGGGGGGUAGAAUUCCAGGUGUAGCGGUGAAAUGCGUAGAGAUCUGGAGGAAUACCGGUGGCGAAGGCGGCCCCCUGGACAAAGACUGACGCUCAGGUGCGAAAGCGUGGGGAGCAAACAGGAUUAGAUACCUGGUAGUCCACGCCGUAAACGAUGUCGAUUUGGAGGGUUGUGCC
This 796-nucleotide ribosomal RNA is filed under the name uncultured bacterium. RNAcentral's name for it is "bacterial SSU rRNA". It matches the Rfam family "Bacterial small subunit ribosomal RNA", at positions 41 to 831 of the family's 1533-position model. The record is from RNAcentral.